Molecule: transfer RNA, 77 nt
Filed under: Acinetobacter baumannii
Lineage: Bacteria; Pseudomonadati; Pseudomonadota; Gammaproteobacteria; Moraxellales; Moraxellaceae
Description: tRNA-Gly
Rfam family: tRNA
About the family: Transfer RNA (tRNA) molecules are approximately 80 nucleotides in length. Their secondary structure includes four short double-helical elements and three loops (D, anti-codon, and T loops).
Source: RNAcentral
GCGGGAAUAGCUCAGUUGGUAGAGCAUAACCUUGCCAAGGUUGGGGUCGCGAGUUCGAGUCGUCGUUUCCCGCUCCA